This is an RNA transcript of Formica exsecta, 2150 nucleotides long. It is a transcript of the gene named RNA-binding protein 1-like, with no coding region annotated. The record is from RefSeq and is a predicted model, not a curated record. The transcript is spliced from 7 exons. Lineage: Eukaryota; Metazoa; Arthropoda; Insecta; Hymenoptera; Formicidae.
UUCGUUUAUUAUAUAUGUGGGUGAGACUUGCAACGUAUCUAGAUUGUGUUUAAAAAUCUACUCGUUGGAGUAGAUGUCAAACGCAAAUAGAUUUUGAUGGUCCAUAGAUACACAAAAUACAUAGACGAGUCUAUUCUGCGAUGAGCGGAAGAUUUGCGAUAAAAGAAGAGGUACCAACAACUUCUGUCCGUCCACCAAUUACAAGUAUAUAGCCAAAAGGAACCAGAUAGCAGUUCAUAUACAAUGUCAUAGCAACCUCAUAUCAGCAGUUAAUUUUCCGACUAUAUAUUUUACAUGUCUAUGGCCGCACCGCGUGGGAGAAGGCGGUUAAGGUGGGGUUGGGUUUGGAGAUAGGUGGCUCGUUUGAUAGUCGCCAUUUUGUGGCAUUUCUACGCAUUCUACGUAUAUCGUAUAUCGUGUAGUAAACGAACGUGUGUGUUGUACCAGCAGGUCGUGCUGAUCCUUUCAAUAGCGACUCUUUCAAGGUAGAAAAUGUCGCGCUAUCGUGAAUGGGAUCUAUCCUGUAAGGUUUAUGUUGGUAAUCUGGGUAGUAGUGCUAGCAAACAUGAAAUAGAGGGUAAGUUCAGUAAGUAUGGUCCACUGAGAAAUGUGUGGGUAGCCAGAAAUCCACCUGGUUUUGCAUUUGUGGAAUUUGAGGACCCACGAGAUGCUGAAGAUGCAGUGAGAGGACUAGAUGGAAUACACUUAUGUGGCACCAGAGUGCGAGUAGAAAUGUCGUCUGGAAGAAGUCGACGAGGCGGUGGUGGUCGCAGACCCGGUCCUAGAUAUUCCAGGUCUAGAUUGCGCAGUUCUUAUAGGAAAUCCCUGGAUCGUUACCAGAGGUCUUUGUCGAGAAGCCCGCGAAGAUCGCCGAUUAAUCGCUACUCCAGAUUCUACCAGCGUCAGCUCCUAGCUCUGCUCGUCUCCCCGCCACUACUACUACUGCUACUUCUACUACUACUACUACUACAGCCACCGUGAAAAAGCGUAUUCGUACGCGAAAAACAAAAUUAUCAAUCUCGCAAUCGUCGCCAAUCGAACAAAACUGAACAAAAAAUAUAUAUAUGCCUGCCUGCCUGCCCACUAACUUCCCAAUCAACCAAGUCACCAUCAGUCACCACCAAGUCACCGAGUAUAUAGGAAGCCGUCCGUACGUCUGUCACGUCACGUCACGUCGUCCGUCGAAGUUGUGCGUUGUGGUGUUGCGACACGCACACAGCACACAAUGGUGCAACAACCGAAACAACAGUUCGCGUGCUGCCGGAGUACCGUCAGUGCCGAGAAAGCCAUCUUUAAAAGAAAAAAAAACGUUGCCUCUUUUGUUGCUGUCCCCCCGUUCGCCGUCGUUGCGCUGCAAAAACAAAUCGUCCGUCGUUCUACUACGAGAUUCUCCCCUUCGAUAACCACAACCACUACUACUACUACUAUUACUACUACUACUCUUCCACCACUACCACCAUCACCACCACCAACCACCAAUCGACCGAUCACCGGGUGUUAUUGUGAUCCACCUUCUUCGACUCUUCGUCUCAGCUUUAGCCCGGGUGGGGGGGCAGUGGUACGCACCGAAUUAAUUGCCAAAAAUAUCUGCCACCGUGAGAAAAAAACACAACCCAUCGGCUGCCACCAUCUUGAACAAAUCGAUCACGCGAUGUAAAAAAAAAAAAAUGAUUUUCCACACAGUAAUUCUAUCCAUCGGCGCGUCUCUCCAUUCGACUGCAAACGACUGUCUUCUCGACUGUUCGUCGUUUCGAUACCGACGUUUCUAUUUCACCACUGCUACUACUAGUAUUACCGCUACUGCUACUACUACUACUGCUACUGCUCCUACUCGUCGACCAUCAUUUAGGGACGUGUGUUUAGCCACAACGACAACUGAGCGCGCGAGAGUUGCCGCCGAAAGAUCUUCUCGAGAGCGAACGCAAAAAAAGCGAAAUGAUCACCACCUACUACACACCAUCCCACCACCACCCACCAACCAACCAACUACCACCAACCACCACUACAUGUUCACAGUUGUCUGAUCGAGGUCUCGCAGUCCCCGCAGGAGAUCAUUGACUCGGAGCCGCAGCCGCGAUCGCCGUUCACGUUCGGACUCCCGCGAUAGACGGUAUUAAUAUAUUAAUCCUGCUAAUUAAAAAAAAAAAAAA